This 904-nucleotide ribosomal RNA is filed under the name uncultured fungus. RNAcentral describes it as "eukaryotic LSU rRNA". It matches the Rfam family "Eukaryotic large subunit ribosomal RNA", at positions 54 to 945 of the family's 3401-position model. The record is from RNAcentral. Lineage: Eukaryota; Fungi.
UUGCCAAGAAMUAACAAGGAUUCCCCUAGUAACUGCGAGUGAAGCGGGAAAAGCUCAAAUUUAAAAUCUGGCAGUCUUCGAUUGUCCGAGUUGUAAUCUGGAGAAGUGCUUUCCGCGCCGGACCGUGUACAAGUCUCUUGGAAUAGAGCGUCAUAGAGGGUGAGAAUCCCGUCUUUGACACGGACUACUGGUGCUUUGUGAUGCGCUUUCAAAGAGUCGAGUUGUUUGGGAAUGCAGCUCAAAAUGGGUGGUAAAUUCCAUCUAAAGCUAAAUAUUGGCGAGAGACCGAUAGCGAACAAGUACCGUGAGGGAAAGAUGAAAAGCACUUUGGAAAGAGAGUUAAACAGUACGUGAAAUUGCUGAAAGGGAAACACUUGAAGUCAGUCGCGUCGUUCAGAACUCAGCCUGGCCUUGGCCUGGUGCAUUUUCUGAAUGACGGGCCAGCAUCAAUUUCGACUGUUGGAUAAAGGUUGGGGAAAUGUGGCUUCUUCGGGAGUGUUAUAGUCCUYGGCUGCAUACAAUGGUUGGGAUUGAGGAACUCAGCAUGCCUUUAUGGUCGGGGUUCGCCCACGUUCAUGCUUAGGAUGCUGGCGUAAUGGCUUUAAAUGACCCGUCUUGAAACACGGACCAAGGAGUCUAACAUGCCUGCAAGUGUUUGGGUGGAAAACCCGAGCGCGCAAUGAAAGUGAAAGUUGGGAUCCCUGUCGUGGGGAGCACCGACGCCCGGACCAGACCUUCUGUGACGGAUCCGCGGUGGAGCAUGUAUGUUGGGACCCGAAAGAUGGUGAACUAUGCCUGAAUAGGGUGAAGCCAGAGGAAACUCUGGUGGAGGCUCGUAGCGAUUCUGACGUGCAAAUCGAUCGUCAAAUUUGGGUAUAGGGGCGAAAGACUAAUCGAACCAUCU